RNAcentral lists this transfer RNA (38 nucleotides) under Strobilanthes punctata. RNAcentral's name for it is "partial tRNA-His". Lineage: Eukaryota; Viridiplantae; Streptophyta; Magnoliopsida; Lamiales; Acanthaceae. The record is from RNAcentral. RNAcentral also lists the same sequence under 1 other name.
GGGCGGAUGUAGCCAAGUGGAUCAAGGCAGUGGAUUGU